RNAcentral lists this ribosomal RNA (200 nucleotides) under uncultured prokaryote. Its description in RNAcentral is "partial 16S ribosomal RNA". It matches the Rfam family "Bacterial small subunit ribosomal RNA", at positions 1182 to 1382 of the family's 1533-position model. The record is from RNAcentral.
ACGUCAAAUCAUCAUGCCCUUUAUGUCCUGGGCUACACACGUACUACAAUGGCCGUAACAGAGAGAAGCGAAGCAGUGAUGUGGAGCAAAACUCCAAAAGCGGUCUCAGUUCGGAUUGAAGGCUGAAAUUCGCCUUCAUGAAGCUGGAAUUGCUAGUAAUGGCAGGUCAGCAUACUGCCGUGAAUACGUUCCCGGGCCUU